GGCGGACGCUGCUCUCCAAGGGACGGCCGGGGCCGGGGCUGCAGCUGCUCUGGGGAUUGGGGGCUGCGCCGGCUCGCUCGGCCGCGCUCGGCCCUCCUCCUUAAAGGGACAGAACUGAAGUUUCAAAGAAUAAAAUACCUCACUAGGGCCACAGCAGCCAGCUACAGUCAGGAGUCCAUCUCAGGUGGGUCUAACCCCAAACCAGAGCUCUGACCACGAUUUGCCUGCAGGUCAUCAGGUUGAUCCUCUAGGAAAGUAAACAGCUCUGGGCAACAUGGACACAAGUACAAGGUGCAGUGGCAUGAUUGCCAUGGAAAUAAAUCUGUUACUCGUGUAGUGGAAAUUCAGUGAAGAGACCAAGGUUUGAGGUGGCCAGAAAGGAUUCAUGGAGGUUCAUAAGGUCAACAGACUGGACACUCAAGACUCACACCUGUAAUCCUAGCCACUUGGGAGACUGAGAUCCGAAGGAUUGAUUCCAGCCCAUUCUAGGCAAAAAAGUUUUUGAGACCCCAACUCAAUGGAAAAAAGCUGGGUGUGGUGGUGCCUGCCUGGUUUUGCGGUCCCCAGGAAGCCUAAAAUAGGAGGAUGGAGUGCAGGUGAGCCAGGACAAAAAAAGUAAGACCUUAUCUCCAGAAUAACCAGAGCACAAACGACUGAGUGGUUCAUGGGUAGAGUGUCUACCUUGCAAGCACAAGUCCUGAGUUCAAACCCCAGUACCACUAAAACAAAACAAAGAAAAUAGGAUCAUCAAAAGGGAUGUGAUUAUUAAAAAGGGAUUUUCUGCCUCACCUUUAGGUUUGGUAUCUCUUUUGAUUUGGAGAGCAUGAUUGUGUCCUCUACUUAGGAAAUGUGUCAUUUAGGUGAAGUAGAAAAAAAAACUUAGCUUUUCAAGAUGUGUGGGGAAGCUAACAUCUGUGGGUGUCCAUGUUUUUACUAUCAAAUGAACAUAAAACCUAUGCUAAAGAAUUUCUGCAAGAAUUGAUGGAUUGUGUCAGUAAUCCCUGAUCAUGGAUACACAGCAGAAUUACCUGGGAUACUUCUGAAACAACCCAUGCUCCAGUCUCAGUUCAAAUGAAAUCCUCAUAAUCAUUUGAUGUAAAUUAGUCAUCUAGCAGGAAACAUUAGAGGCCAGAAAAGUAGAAGCCCACAAAAUAUUAGCUCCUACACCAGAUACAGUGGAUCACAUUUGUAAUCCCAGCUACUCAGGAGGCUUAGAUCAGGAAGGAUCACUGUUACAGGCCAGCAAGGCAAAAGUGCAAGACCCCAUCUCAACAAAAUGAGCUGGAAGUGAUGGCUUAUAUCUAUAAUCCCAGCUGCAGGAAGCAUAGGUAGGAGGAUUGUAAAUAAAAAAGUGGAAAGGGCCAGGGGCAUGGCUCUAGUAGAAGAGUGCUUACCUAAGCAAGCACAGGCCUUGAAUUCAAACUCUAGUACCACCAAAAAUAAAAAAAAAAAAAUCCCCCAAAA
Castor canadensis (American beaver) is the source of this 1464-nucleotide non-coding RNA. The record is from RefSeq and is a predicted model, not a curated record. Lineage: Eukaryota; Metazoa; Chordata; Mammalia; Rodentia; Castoridae.